AAAUUUAUAAAAUUUAUGACAUCAAAAUGAAAUAAACACCUGUAAAACUAUACUAUAUAAACUAACUAGCAGUUGACCCGCGCUGCGCGCGGGAGGUUUAUAAUUUUUUUGUUAAUUUUUUAUUCAUAUUGUGAUAUUUUAUUUAUUUUUAAUUGAUUUUCAAAACAUAUUAUAGUUAUUUUCUCUUGAAUUAUUAUCUUUCAAUAUUU
RNAcentral lists this long non-coding RNA (209 nucleotides) under Capsella rubella. Its description in RNAcentral is "long non-coding RNA (CRUB_LNC003884)". Lineage: Eukaryota; Viridiplantae; Streptophyta; Magnoliopsida; Brassicales; Brassicaceae. The record is from RNAcentral.